Coturnix japonica (Japanese quail) is the source of this 962-nucleotide non-coding RNA. The record is from RefSeq and is a predicted model, not a curated record. NCBI's taxonomy places the organism in Eukaryota, Metazoa, Chordata, Aves, Galliformes, Phasianidae.
UACAUAAAUAAAGUUAUACUAUGCUGAUGCAAAGCUGAUGUUGACAAUGUGGUUUUCAUCCUGCAGUUCUGGGGGAUGGCGUGAACAUUUUUACCUGUGGUAUCUGAGGGCUACUGCCUGUUGGGCAGAUCAGAACUGAGACCUGGCAUCAGCUGUUUUCUGCAGGAAGCCAUAUGUGGCAACAAGAAGAGUAAGUUGGAGAUGAUCCUUAUAAUGUGAAUUAAAGAGAAGAUAUACUGCAGCAUCCUCAUUAUUGGAAUUUAUUAGGAGUUUAUUCUUACUGGAGGAGGCAUAAUCCCUGUUAUCUCUGUUGGCAAAGUCAACAUCAGGGAGAGUUCUUUCUGCAGUCAAUCAGGGAUCAAGCAAACUGGUGAGAAGAGUGUAGAUGAACAGAUGUAAGUAUCUGUAGAGUGAAAAGAAGACUGAGAGAAGAAACAUGCAAGGAACAAAGAAGAAAGACAACUGCCACCCAAAAUGGAGCAACUGGAAAACUAUCAAGAGCAUUGUAGAAAAUGGCAAUUACUACAGAAGUAUUUGCUUUCCAUUGGACUAAAGCUUAUGAGGAAUCCUUUAAAAGAAACUCUUCUGCUAUAUCUAAAUGCAGAGAGACUGGGCAUCAGUGGAGAGGGUAAGAUGGAGAUGAAAAAGGAGUGAACGUUACUCCCUUUGCGUUAGACUGGAAUAAUCCUAUACAGUCCCCUUUCUCAGACUCACUAAAUGGACAAAGCUGCAAGGAUACUCUUGGUCAAUCUGACACCCAAAGCAGGGAGUCCCAGCUCACGCCCAAGCGGCUUUUGAAGAUCCCCAAGGAGGAGACUCUACAGAAUCUCUGGACAACCUGUGCCAGUGUUCCACCACCCGCACAGCACAAAAGAGCUUCUUGAUGUUUAGAGGAAACCUCCUGUACCCCAGUUUGUGCCCACUGCCUCUUGUCCUGCUACUGGAAAUCACUGAAAAGAGCC